Phalacrocorax carbo (great cormorant) is the source of this 6904-nucleotide non-coding RNA. The record is from RefSeq and is a predicted model, not a curated record. NCBI's taxonomy places the organism in Eukaryota, Metazoa, Chordata, Aves, Suliformes, Phalacrocoracidae.
GCGGCGGGGCGGGGCGGGGACCCGCCCGUGCGGGAGCUCCGCGCUGAGGGGCAGCGGGGCCCAGCCCCCCCCCCACGGCCCCGCUCCGGGCGGCGCCGCCCCGGGCGGGAAGCGCACCGGAACCUCCCGCCCGGCCCCCGCCGCACGCUCUCCGCCCGUCUCCCCGAGUCCGCUCCGAGCGCGGCGCGGCCGCCGCAGCGGGGAGCGAGGCCCGCGGUCCCCCGCAGCCUGCCGGGGCUCCCCGGAGAGGGGGCGCCACCACCGCCCCGCGGGACCGGCCGCCGCCGGGGGAGGGUGGGGGCCAGCGGAGUCCCGUCCCGUCCGGCGGCUCCGCUCCGCCCCGGUACCUGCCGCCUGUCCGUCCGUUCGUCCGCCCGCCGCCCGUCUGCAGAGGCCUGAGGGGCGGUUACGGACAAGGUGCGGUCCCAGAGCGGGCACGUCGCUUCUCAUCAUCUGGUUUGAAACAGCUCUGGAAAGCAACAGGCAGUAAGCAAAGCCCCAGAAAAGUUCCAAUGACAGGAGACUGAAGAAACAGUGGAUGGCAGAGAGUGCAUUUACUUUUUGAGGUCUGGUAAAACAACUGGUCAAGCGGCACAGUUGGAUCGUGGUGCAGCUGCAGUUGUGAGGCUGGAUUCCUGGCUCCAGAGCGAGCCAGGUGACUCAUCCUUUAAAGAGAACUGAACAAUCACCGAACGCUAUACAAAACGAUGAAGGACACUCAUGGAACCGCUGGAAGUGCUCAUCAUAAAAGAACAGCAUCAAAAUCCAAAUGGGCUGAAAAAGCCACUUGAUCUCUACUGUUCCUCUCUAGGACUAGUUGCGACACUGAGAGAUCAGGAGCGGGUUUCACGCGCUUACUGUAAUUUGCAAGUAUGUAUUUCACCAGUGUGUAAGAUCACUAAGUGAGGCAAAAGACAAUGCUCAUAUUAAUCACCACACUUCUGCAUAUUCUCUGCUGCUGCAGUCUAACCCACUUGUAAUAAUGGCACGCGAGGGCUGAGAAAACUCUCCAGCAUGUUUUGGAAAUUCUUUUGAUUUCUUCUGGAGGGGGAGAGGAGUAGGCAAGCAGAGAAAGGGGAAUCUGUAUUUAAAACCUGCAUAGGAAAAUUUAGGAGUCUGCCUACAAGUCCCAGACACAGCGGAUGAAGCCUCACAUCAGCUGUAACUCUCUGGCAGCUGCUUUGCUUGCAAUGGCCAGGGAGAAGGCUCCUUUCUACCAAGGGUGUGGGUGUGGAAUUGUAAUAGACGCUUCCAUAAACUGCUGUCUGCUCAAAUGUCAUGACGUUGGCUUUCUGCCCCAUUUUCAACUGCAGAGAACAGCAGAUGGGAGGGGCAGAAACAAUGAAGAUCCCUUUUUAACUCUCAGUUUGAAAAAUCUCCCAACUCUUUUCAGCAAAAUAGCUCUUCUCCUAACUAUUGUGAAUGGUAUUUUCUAGAUCCUACUGUGGAAAUUACAAUUACUUUACCAUAUACCUAACCUAAUCCUAAACCCCAAGAAUUUUACAGUGUGUGCAAUAGGGAGCAAAGAAGGACUAGUGUCGUGGUUUAGCCCCAGCCGGCAGCUCAGAUCCACGCAGCCGCUCGCUCACUCACCCCCAAUGGGAUGGGAAAGAGAAUCGAAGGGUAAAAGUGAGAAAACUCAUGGGUUGAGGUAAAGGCAGUUUAACAGGGAAAGCAAAAGCCAUGUGCAAGCAAAGCAAAACAAGGAACUCAUUCCCUCCUUCCCACAGGCAGGAGGUGCUCAGCCAUCCCCAGGGAAGCAGGGCUCCAUCACACCCAACGGCGAUUUGGGAAGGCAAACGCCAUCACUCCCAACAUCCCCACUUCCCCCAGCUCUAUACGCUGAGCAUGACGCCAUGUGGUGUGGGACACCCCUGGGGUCAGUCGGGGUCAGCUGUCCCGGCCGUGCCCCCUCCCAGCCCCUUGUGCCCCCCCAGCCCCUCGCUGCUGGGGUGGGAGGCAGGAAAGGCCUUGGCUCAGCAGGGACGGAAACAUCCUGGGGUUGUCAACUCUGUUUCCAGCACAAACCCAAAACACAGCCCUGUACUGGCUACUGUGGAGAAAGCUAACUCGACCCCAGCCAAACCCAGCACAACUAGUUAGCUGCACACAGAAUUGCAAGGGAUCACUUUUUGUGAGUUUCCAGUUACUUCUUCGAUAAAUGAAGAGCGUGAUGUACAUUAAAGUUGUGUUCCAGUUAUAAAGUAGAAUGAGUAGAGACAAAAGAAAAGAUGUCAAUAGUCAUGGAAGGAGCUUAACAAAGCAAUCCAUAACUGCCAUGGCUAGUAAAAGAGCGUGGAAUUAGGAAGAAAAAAGUAUUAAAGAAGUAUUAUUUUGUUCAGUCUGUUCAGCAAUUGUUUGGCCCUUUUAUGGAACUAGACAGGAAGCCAACUGAAGAAGCACGAUCAUGACCAUUAUUAGCUUUAGAAAUUCUUACAAAUAUAAGCUAGUUUCCAAUCACAACAAAAUCAAACUACUUUUCACAUUUUUAAUGAAAGAUUCUUGCAUUCCCCUGCUACCCAAUAUCUCAGAAAAUAAUAGGUGUACUGUGUUUUAGUACACCUUAUUCGCAGAGUGCCCCCAACAAAUGAGGACAUUUACAACAGCCCAACCCCACAGUACACAAAUACAAUGCCAUCCCACUGAGCGGAGUUCAGCGGUGCUAACUGCAGGCUGCGGAGCUGCAAGCUAUCAGGUGUCACACUGGCAAACGCUUUGGGGAAAAUCAGUGCGUGAACUCAGGAUUUAACCCAGUGAGUUGCAGUUGCACGGUAAAGAUGACAAAGGCUAUUUAUUCCUCAGAUCUGGAAUCUAAGCUAACCUCCAGGUGUAGCGCAGCAAGAAAUUUUCACUGCAGUCAAGUGAGGCACAUUAGACAAAUUACAGAUCUGUUUCACCUCCCUCUGAACUUUGAGUCUGAGCUUACACUGAGUUGUCAGGAGUAUUACUCAAACUUGCAAUUUCUACAUUUUGCCAUUUAACUUAAAGAAUUUUUGGUACCUGUAGAGUUUUAUGGUCAUGAAUGAGGAACUCUGAUACAAGAGGCUGGGUUUCCAGGUCUACAGAGAGACAGAGACAGUUUUUAGUAAGCUUUUCAGUGUACUGCUGCUCCUGGCUCUUAACCUGCCUCUGCAUCAGCAUUGUUGCUACAACCCCAGCCAUUCCUGAGGGAAGAGGCUUCCAGCGAUAGUGAAUUAAUGAUCCUGGAAAUGGCACCGUGGCCUAGGCAGAGAAACAACACUAUUUCUACUGUUAUCUGCAGCAGUUUUAAAAGACUGUAAGUAAUAUAAAAUUAUACAGCAACUGCACCUAUAACAAACUCCUGUGCCCUGAUGGUGGACACUUUAUCUGAAUGAAAGGGGGUGGAGGGAACAGAGAGACCGCUGAGGGUUAGGGAGAAGGCAGUACACACUCUGCAGUGCCUGUUCAGAUCUGUACCGUAACUGUGCUUCACUAGCUGCUAGGGUUUGCUACUUGCAUAUCAUCUGUUAAAUGGGCUGAAGAAUCUAGAACGUUUGGGAUUUUUUACAGUUUGAAGGCUGAGAUGUCUGUGGUGGUUUGGAUGUGUACAUCGAUGAUGACUCAACAUUUAGACCUAAUUCAGGAAAGGAAAAUGAAGAACAGAGGCUUAUUGGGCUUAAUCAACUCAUACACAUUAAGGAGCACAUGGGAGAAAAUACUUGGUUUCAUCUGUGUUUUCCUUCAGUAAAUAGCACUAGUAGAUGCACAGUUCUUUUCUGUCAACAAUUUUAAACCAUUCUUCAACUAUGAGUCUCUUUCUGUGGGAAAGUAAGGCACGGAGUGGUGUAAACAGCUUGCCAAGCAACCAGCGGCAGAGCCAAAAUCAGAAUUCAGCCUGCCUGCCCACCUGCUUUCCUGCUACCCUUGCUGCCGAGCAAGUCGCCCAACGUGAGAGCUUUUCAGAUGGAAGAACAAAUGAGCAAACAAAGGAGUGAAAUUAAAUAUAAGCAAAGUGCAAAUGACCAGUACGAGAGCCCGAAGAAGCAAAAUGCAAAAAGAAACAGUAAAAACAUUAUAAAAUAAAUUUAGAGAUUACAAUACAGAAGUAAUUUCCAUUUUAACGCGUGACUGCUAAUGGUGUGUUAAUGAUUUUCCUCAUAUACACAGGGCUUUGGUCCAAAACUCUGAAUGAAACCAUUCAUGCUCUUCCGUGUAUCUUUUACCAGAAGAUAUCAGUGCUCCUUAGCCAAGAUGCUCCUUAGUGUCUUUCAUUUUGCUUGCCUGUUUCCACUGCGUGUCAUUUCAACACUGGGAAAGCAUCGGCUUGACAGCUUCGCAGGCUGAUGUUCUCUCUUUGCAGAGACGGGAAGGAUGUGCGGCAGCAGAGGAAGCUUGCUACAACAGCACUCAGCUGCACGCCUCAGCUCAGCUCUGCCCCGAAUGAACCCGCUGGCACAGCUCCGUCCCCCUUUGAUUGCGAGAGAGUCAGUUAGGGACAGCAGCAAUACUGGUUUCUGUGAUGCUUUUUCUGCUAGAAACUGGACUCAGGCACAGUUCACAUCAUCCAUCAGGCUCUGUUAACAUGGUAACAGUUUCUAGUCACUAAUGACCUGGGCUGGAUUUGACUGGGCAACCGGCCAUAAACAAGAAAGCCUCCCUAAAGCAUUACCAGCCCCUCUGAACCAUUCAACCCUCUGUAAUGCUGGGGGGGGGACUACAAUCCAAAAAACCACAAAAAACCCCGCAAAACCCACUUUUUAAAAUAAAGCUUCUCACAACUGACAGGGAAGCAGCCACCCCCGCACACACCUUAUUCACUCACUGCACUGAACUGGCAUUCCUUCAAGAGCUGGGAAGGGCCCAGAGCUGCUGAUUCAAAGACAUUUGGAAGAAGAACUCAAAAAUCAAGGUUUUUGUUCCUUUUUGGCUUCUUGCUUCUUUCCUUGGCCUGCUCUGCCUGCCCAUGCUGAAUGUCAAUCAGCAGAGCAAUAGCACCUUUGCAAAGAAGUCCCGAGUAUCUUGGCAAAUACGUUAACAAGCAUGUGAAAAGGCCCAAGGUUUCCACAAGUCCAAAGAAGAAAAGGUUGCUUUAGAGUGGUGGCGGCUAAGCGACAGACGGGGACAAAGGGUCAGGAAUCAACAAAGUUACACAAUCUUGUCUAAACUAUAGCAGACACAGAGGUAUCUUUUUCAGAAAAGACUUCUAAAUGACCCUUGUAGUGCAUCCACAGCUUAUUUUCAGAGACAUUUGCUUACAUCAAAUACCCCUGGACAAAUUCCCACAAGGAAAUUGCCAGAAUCAGUUGCUAUCUGCACUUGGCAGAGAAUUGCGUCUUAUGUCAAAGCGGUUGUGAUCAACCCAAAGCAUUUCUCAAAAAAGGCAGUUGCAUUUUUAUUCAAGUCUCUGCCACCCUGUAAUUGACAGCUAUUUGAUGUUCAGUGCCAUCUUGGAAUGACUAACAGCUCAAAAGUUUAUUACGAAUUUCUUAUGAACCUGUGGUUAGGACCAGCCUAAGUGAGCAAACAGAAGAAACUGAAUUGAGUUCAACAAAUUCAGGUCUCCUUCUUCGAUGGCCCGAUGAAACUGGAUGAUCUUUUAUAAUCACUGGGAAUCUGUUUCUUUUGCAACCUGUCAGUCUGACAGCCACAUUUAAAAAGGAGCUGUUUUUUUGAUGAUUACCAUAUGAAGCUCUAAGUGACUGAGCAUUUCAUCUUUCUGUUUUAGCAAGCAAAUGGUGUAUUUACUAUGUUUAAUAAGAUUUCCAAGGCCACUGUCUCAGGAUAUUCCCUACAAUUGUUUAAAGUAUUAAUAUAACACUUUGAAUCCUAAAAAUAAAUGCAAUGGUUUUAAGAUGGCUGGUCAAAUUCUGCAGCUACAUUGAUUAAAGUCCUAAACAAUUCUGUUCACUUCAUGAAAUUCAUUGCAGUUUCAAGCACCUGUAACAGGGAAAAGAAUUUACCCUUUUUUUUUGUUUUUUUUUGCAUCGCUAAAACAGAACGAGAAAACAAGAGCACUUAGUAGUGCUAAUAUGAACCUUAACUUUGUCUCCAUUGGGAUGAGGCAUACUGUAACAAAAAGAUUUAAUCUUUCAAGGCUAAAUCAUGUUCAGCUAUCCCUGUUGCGCAGGCAGGGUAGGCCUGUCAGAGAAGUAUGAGAAGAGGUUUGGUUGUUCUUUGGAUUUCUUCAAGUUUCCUGGUAGAUCCCACCGCAACAGGAAACUGGGGAGUUGAGCAACAGAUCUGGCACAAUAACCUAAUUGAUCUCUCAAUUAUUUGUACUAAAGAAAACUAAAGAUAGCAAAAGGAACUGGAGGAGUCAGGAUAUGCUGGCUUAUGUGUGCGUUGUAGAAAUGAUUAGCUAAGGCAAAGAACAUCAGAUGGAAUAAUGUCCCUGCAUGAUUAUCUUCCAACUACUCUGAUUAGUGACAAAUAGUAGAGAGCUGGAGAUCUAUACAAAUGUCAUUAGACCAAGGGUUGUAAUGUGAUUUAGUGACGUGGCUGCAGUGAUAGCUGGUUCCCUUGACACAGCAAAACAAAUGGGGGUUUAGCAUUGUUGGUUCUCUGCUGUGCUAAAAAGCAAGCAUCCGACAUAAAUGUUGGUCUGUACGAGAAGGCAAGCAAGGGGCUGAUGCUUAUCAGCAUCACUGUGUAUCAAACCAAUGACUUGAACUGGCAUAAGGAGAGUCAGGCCCUAAGAUAAAAUGUACUUCAGAACACUGCAACAGUGCAAUGCAGUUUGAUCUUUCCAGCACACCAUAAUAAAGAUUAAUUCCUUUUCCCACUGUUCCCCUUCCUGCUUUUCUUUCACUCCCAUCACCUUGCUUUGUAUUUGACUCUCACAAGCCAGGCUCUCCCUGGUUUCUCCAGGUGGGGCUUGCUGGAGAACACUCCCUGCAGUGGCAGCGGCCAGCAGCUCCCGCUGCACAGCUUUGUUUCGGGGGAU